Molecule: ribosomal RNA, 492 nt
Filed under: uncultured bacterium
Lineage: Bacteria
Description: partial 16S ribosomal RNA
Rfam family: Bacterial small subunit ribosomal RNA
Source: RNAcentral
AGUGAACGCUGGCGGUGGGCCUAACACAUGCAAGUCGAACGGCAGCACAGUAAGAGCUUGCUCUUCCGGGUGGCGGGUGGCGGGCGGGUGAGGAAUGCAUCGGAAUCUACUUUUUCGUGGGGGAUAACGUAGGGAAACUUACGCUAAUACCGCAUACGAUCUACGGGUGAAAGCAGGGGAUCUUCGGACCUUGCGCGAUUGAAUGAGCCGAUGUCGGACUAGCUAGUUGGGGGGGUAAUGGCCAACCAUGGCGACGAUCCGUAGCUGGUCUGAGUGGAUGAUCGGCCACACGGGAGCGUGGACACGGUCCAGAGUCCUACGGGAGGCAGCAGUGGGGAAUAGUGGACAAUGGGCGCAAGCCUGAUCCAGCAAUACCGCGUGUGUGAAGAAGGCCUUCGGGUCGUAAAGCCCUUUUGUUGGGAAAGAAAAGCAGCAGGUUAAUACCCCGCUGUUCUGACGGUACCCAAAGAAUAAGCACCGGCUAACUUCGUG